GGUAGUAGGAGUGGCAGUGGUGGUGGAAAUGGUGGUGCGUGGUGGGAGUGAGAGACGAUGGGGCCGGUGAUGGUGGUGGUGGUGGUUUUCAGCCAUUGUCGGAGAGUCCAACGGAAGAAUUUUCCAACGUUAAUGAUCAACAGUGUCGGAAUAUGGAAAGAUCAAGUCAUUGACUUCCAUUGGUUGGGCCAAACUCCGGAAUUGUUCUUGGACCAAUGGGUUAUUUUGUAAAAAUAGGGGGGAUGGCUAGAUUUGUAAAAAUAGUCAAUAUUUGAAAAGUAGUAGAACAACGUAAAAAUUGC
Molecule: long non-coding RNA, 302 nt
Filed under: Nicotiana benthamiana
Lineage: Eukaryota; Viridiplantae; Streptophyta; Magnoliopsida; Solanales; Solanaceae
Description: long non-coding RNA (NBEN_LNC036109)
Source: RNAcentral